This 498-nucleotide ribosomal RNA is filed under the name uncultured bacterium. RNAcentral describes it as "bacterial SSU rRNA". It matches the Rfam family "Bacterial small subunit ribosomal RNA", at positions 27 to 518 of the family's 1533-position model. The record is from RNAcentral.
GGAUGAACGCUAGCGACAGGCUAACACAUGCAAGUCGAGGGGCAGCACGGGAGUAGCAAUACUUGGUGGCGACCGGCGCACGGGUGAGUAACGCGUAUGCAACCUACCUAUCAGAGGGGAAUAACCCGGCGAAAGUCGGACUAAUACCGCAUAAAACAGGGGCACCGCAUGGUGAUAUUUGUUAAAGAAAUUCGCUGAUAGAUGGGCAUGCGUUCCAUUAGGUAGUUGGUGAGGUAACGGCUCACCAAGCCGACGAUGGAUAGGGGAACUGAGAGGUUGGUCCCCCACACUGGUACUGAGACACGGACCAGACUCCUACGGGAGGCAGCAGUGAGGAAUAUUGGUCAAUGGGCGGGAGCCUGAACCAGCCAAGUCGCCGUGAAGGAAGAAGGAUCUAUGGUUCGUAAACUUCUUUUGCAGGGGAAUAAAGUGCAGGACGUGUCCUGUUUUGUAUGUACCCUGAGAAUAAGGAUCGGCUAACUCCGUGCCAGCCGCCGC